RNAcentral lists this ribosomal RNA (256 nucleotides) under uncultured bacterium. Its description in RNAcentral is "partial 16S ribosomal RNA". It matches the Rfam family "Bacterial small subunit ribosomal RNA", at positions 524 to 777 of the family's 1533-position model. The record is from RNAcentral.
UACAGAGGGGGCAAGCGUUAUUCGGAAUUAUUGGGCGUAAAGGGCGCGUAGGCGGCUUGGCAAGUGGAUGGUGAAAUCCCUCGGCUUAACCGAGGAACGGCCGUCCAAAACUGCUUCGCUUGAGACCGGGGAGAGGUGAGUGGAAUUCCCAGUGUAGCGGUGAAAUGCGUAGAUAUUGGGAGGAACACCAGUGGCGAAGGCGGCUCACUGGACCGGUACUGACGCUGAAGCGCGAAAGCGUGGGGAGCAAACGGGG